Molecule: long non-coding RNA, 9522 nt
Organism: Hippocampus zosterae (dwarf seahorse)
Lineage: Eukaryota; Metazoa; Chordata; Actinopteri; Syngnathiformes; Syngnathidae
Exons: 2
Source: RefSeq, a predicted model, not a curated record
UACGGAGGCGUGACGCUUCCUGUUUCCAAAGAGCGAAUCGGAGAGAGAUUUUUUUUUCUUUUUUUUUUUUUUUUUUUGCCUCGUUCACUUUUUCACCACCUCUUCCAUUGUAGGCCCCUUCCAAUGUGGUGAGUUUUAUUUUGCGUGUGUGUUUUUUUUUUUAAUUUUAAUCGGCAUCGCAUGCAAGCAGGAGGGGGGAGGAUAAAAAAUACCGCGAAUUUAAGUUGCGGUUUUGUGUAAAGGACCAUCAUCGGUUUUUUUUCUGACAAAAGGACACUUCCCUAUCAUAAUAUGACGUCUUAUUUUUUACUACGCAAGUGCCGAAAAAUCCAUAAUCAUCAGACACAUCAUCUUUUUUUUUUUUUUUCCUUGAAGAACUGUCUUGCAUGCUCCUCGGUCCGAGCAGUUCGCUUCAUUAGUGGUGAAAAGGAGGAUGAGGAGGAGUAGAAGGAGGCGGAGGAGGAGGAGGAGGAGGGCCGACUGCUCCAUCCUGAGCAAUCUAUCUAGCCGGUGCUGAGGGUUAAUAGCUGCUGCCAAAGAUAAGUGAAUUAUAAGCUGUUGCUUUCACCUCCGCGCAAAUCUAUUGCCAAAUUGAGCUUUGCACACACUUUGCGCGCGCUAAAAAUCGUCAAAGACCGCAUGCAAAAAAAAAAAAAAUGCGCGCUAUUCGCUUAUGAAGAAGUUAACCUUCCCUUUUAUGUCGGAGUUUUUUUUUCUUUCUUUCUCUUUAAAAGGCAAAUCCUCUUUAGAGAUCAGAUACUGUUGACUGGAGAGGAGCCGCCACACACGCGCACGCACGCGCGCGCGCACACACACUCGCCCGCACACAAUGUGUCGGAAUAACGACGGCGUCUUUUUAAAGCGUAUUUGACAACAAAUGCAGCUGGCCCCGCUCGUUGUGGACAUAUUAGCGGUGGAAAUGAAUGCAAAUCUGUGUGCUGCAGCCAUCUGGACGUGCAGAGACGGAAAAAGAGGGGCGUCAGCUGAGCCCCCUUGACUGUUGUGGUCUUCGGACAACAAAAAUCCAAAAUGUAAAUAUUAUAUAUUUUUUUGGGGGGUGGGGGGGUGGAAAGAUGCGCAAAAAAAAUAGCACGUCACGCUUACUAGUGUCUCCCACCCACCCUUCUAUUGACCUCCACUGAUAUCCAAUCAAACUCCCCAAUGAGGGCUUCCGGUGUGUGUGGCGCGCGCAUGCACCCCUCUGUCUUUGUGUGUGCGUGUGUGUGUUGAAUUUACGGGGCGAGGCCCUUCAUGAUCUCGCCCCAAAUUUGCAUGUAAAUGGCCGACAUCAGCCUCCACGCGUGCCAGGGGCCAGCGGGCCUCCCAGAUGUCACGGCAAAGUCAAUCAGCCGGCCGCUGCCCAGCUGUCCAGCCCACUUCCACAUCCACGCGCGCCCAUGCAACACCGUAUGAUUAUUAUUAUUUAUUCGCAUUUAUUUAAAAAGGAGCUUUUUUUUGCUGUAGGGAGCUCACCUGCGUUUUGCGUGGUUGUUUUUAUUUUAAUUUUUAUUUUUUCUGGUAUAAGCAGCCCAUGCAGGCUUUGUGAAAGGGAUCUUUUGUCGAUUAAUUAUUAAUUACAUGCACGCCCACAGUGCCUCGCAAAUUCUUAAUGAUUAGAGAAGCAGCCCACGCAGCAAGCGUACGUGGUUUUUUUUUCUUCUUUCCCCUUUGCACUGGAAACUAUAUUUUUGUUAUUGAUUUUGGGGAUGGGUGGCGCAUGGAGUUGAAAGUAUUUUCCGAUUGAUUUCUUUUAAAUGAUUGUUUCUUUCAUUCAAAGCCAUUCUAAUAUUGUCAUGCAUCGAUUCCGAUUAUUUCGCCAUUUUUGAAAGCUUGUUUUUUUUGUAAGCAUUCAUUUUGAAUGGUUUCCCCUUGUUUCUUUCACAUAUUUGAUCGCCCCCCACCUCCCCAAAAAAAACACAUUCUAAAUUAUUCUCUCGCGUUCCUUAAUUAGAACACAUUUUAACUGAUUUGUUAUGGUUGACACAUUUGAAUUUAGUCCGUGCAUGCAUUCGUAAUUUGUCACCCCGAAAUAUUUGUAUUGCAUUUGCGUUGAUUUCUGAUGAUUAUCCCCCCCACCCCUCCCAUGUUUCUUUCAUGGAAAUGAACACUUUCACAUUUUUAUUGAGUUAAAAUUCAUUUUUCGCUCCUAACAUAUUUCACUCCCAUCUUUUCAUCGAUUCAUCACAUUGCUCCCCCCCGUAAAAUACGUCUUUAUAUUUUAACGUGCAUUUUAAUAAUUACCUCCCCGCGUUUGUUUCACCACCAACACAUUUUUAUCACCAAUAGUCAUUUUAUUUUAUUUUUUGGGGUGGGGCGUGAUUGCAAAACACUUUUUGUGCGUGUGUUCAUUAAAAUAAAUGCAUUCACAUUUCGCUCACAAUUAAAAGGAAAGCAUCCCCACUCCACACGCACCAAAAAAAAACAUUAGAAGGAGACAUAAAAAGGACAAAUUAUGGAUUAUUUUUGUCUUUAAGGGGGGGCGGCGAGGAGGGUGGGAGGGGUAAAAAUGUAUUCUAGGCAAGAGGAGCGAUGGGAUCGAUUUUUGUCGAGCUGAUAGACGGACAGCGCCCCUCUUUGGCAACACUCUUUUUUUUUUCUCCCCCCACUUGCACAAGGCGCCCAAAUCUCGACGUGGAUUUUUUUUUUUUUUUUUUAGUGAAGGAAAAAAAAAGCAGAAGCUAAUUCUGCUUAUUUUCGUUGUUUUAAUCAUCAUCGUUAUUAUUGGUAGUAGUGUUCAGAUUCCACGCCGAGCAUUUCAUAAAUCGAUACGAGUGCAAUUAAUGGAAAAGCCGAAUUUUGUUUCGUAAGGCCAGCACGACAUACGCGCGGGCCAUACUACUAAUUAUUAUUAUCCUCUUGUUAAUAUAGUAAUAAUAAUAUUAAAUGUGGUGUUCCGUCUUGACGUCACAUUGGGUGACCAACUUAAUUGUGUGCACUGGUGAGUUGUGUCAAGGGCAUCAAUAUGCCUGCGUCCCAUUUGCAUUUCCAUUCUACUGUGGAAAUGAAGAGAGACUUUUUUUUUUUUUUUAACCCGCGCCUGCUUUCGAGCCUCGCGGCGCAGUCUGUGGGCGAAUUACAUUUUAAAAGAAGGCGAGAGAAAUUAAAUAAGAAACCACGACCACUUCAGGGCUAUUAACAUCUAAAAUAUCCCCUGGAAAUUUCCACCGAAAUGCACAUGACCAAAAAAAAAAAAAAAUACCCAGGGUGCCAUCACUCUCAUGCAGACCCCUCCCUCCUUACGACCCCCCUCUUCCCCUGCACUCCUUACCCCUUCCACACCCCACCCCUCCAAUCCAAUCGCGGAGGUGUCCAUCACCGCUUUGUGGAGCUAUCCGGGACUGAUUUAAAUAAAAGUUGAGUUGGUGAUUCUUGAGCGGUGUCAAAAAGAGGAGAAAGGCAAUCAAAUGUGAUUAUUUCAGCCAUAAGUGGAAACAUAUUCAACUUGAAGGCCAAAUGAAGACUUUCAAAAGGUCAAAUUUUAAAAUCACAUCAGCUGGUGGGCAGGGCUGUGCUCACGUGUCUGUUGAAUGUCAUCGCAAACCGUAUGGCAAACGUCAUAAGUGAUCGUAAAACAUAUAGCAUGAGCCAAUUUACAAGUGGAUCAGAAAGGUCUCAGGACUGGUGUCAAAAGACAGUUGUUUCAUUCAAUGCGCGAGAAAAGGUGACUUGCUUGGAACCUUUUAGUCACCUGACCUGAGAUUAUCCCAGCCACCCCCGCUUCUUUUUACUAUAGGCUCAAGGAGUCAUCACGGGGAGCCUUUAAAAAAAAAAAAUUCUUAUAAAGACGCUGACAUGUCAAGAUGGAGAAUCAUUUCAGGGAUGCAUGAAUGUGGAACAAAUAAAGCUUGGAAAGUGCCAUAGCACUCCAAGGGGAAAGGUUGGAACUUUGCUGACCCGCCCUCGUAUAUCGUGAGACUCAGCGAAGUGUCAAAAGGGUUUACUACAGUACACUUUUGCAUCCCUUUUAUUCAUGUAUUUAUUUAUUUUUAAUGAUGCCUCCCCAAAAAUGUUUUCUAGUUGAUCAAAACAGGAAGCGUGACAGAAACAGCGAAUCAGAAAUCGUUAGCCUAAUAGCAUCGUUGCCCAAGUCGUGUCCACAAACACAACAAAUUUGUUAAAAGAAGAGUCCAGUUGCCUCAAUUCAACCUUUUACGAUUACGAUGACCUGAAUAACUCGACCCCUCCCCUCCAAAAAGACAAUUUUUAGCAGUCGCCCUUUUAUCAAUUUAUUGAAGACUUACGUAAAGGUGUUCAGUUUAUGCUAACGCUACGUGAUCAUACAAUGGCAGAAAGAGAAAGGAACAAAAACUGGUAACAAUGUUAGCAAGCACAACAAAACAAGCGUGUUGUUUGCCCCCCCCCCCACCCAAAAAAAAAUCUGAGUUGUUUACAUUUAAAUUUUGAAGGUAUUGGGAGAAAGUACAAGAGACAGUUAGCUCUGUGAACAAUGCAGGAAAGACACAUUUUCUCAAAAGUAAAAAUAGGUUGUUGAAUUGCCCAUUCUAAAAUUGGGUUGAGGCUUGUUUUCUUGAAAUGUUGAGCUCACUCAACUGUUUUUUUUUUAAACCGUGUAGGCUAGUUAAAUGCUAUGUGUGUAGGCUAGUUAAAUGCUACGUUACAAUACAGCUCAAGUGACAAAUCCCAUUGAAAAUUGAGUGGAACGUUACUAGCCAAGUCCUCUGACUGAAGUCCUUAUUACCAACUUCAUUUUUUACACUUUGACCUGACUUUUUUUUAUUUUAUAUACGGCCUUCGAUCUCACCACUUGGGUUCUGAUCUCCUCCGCCUCCUCCACCCGCGACAGUAAAAAAAAAAAAAAUUCUUCUCUUCAUGUGUAAGAAUUCAUGUCAUCACAAUACAUAAUUAUCGGCAAUGUGGUGCUAAUGAACACGCCUCUUCUAUUGUGUGUGUGUGUGUGUGUGUGUGUUUUUUUUUUUCCCCCCCAGCGAUGCGGAGCGACUUCUUGCACUCCGCCGGCAUCGGCGCCAAACGCCGAGGUGCAUCGCUAUUAACAGAAAUGUUAAUUGUGAUGUCACGAGAGCGGGAGUCAAGGUGAAAAAGCUGCGCGGCGAAAACCAAGACCGAGUGUACGCUAAAAUAAUCCAGCAGCACACAAUGAACAUGCAGUUGUGUUAGUGGCAAGGGACCUUUUUUUUUUUUUCCUCCAAGAGGAGGUGGAAAAGAAGGAAGUCAAUGAAACGGAAAGCUACAUUUUUUUGUUGCUGUCUUUGUUUCAACUGGCCUUGUUUUCCCCUCCGCAAAUUGUAUAAUGCUGCUCUUUGUUCUACACGCCACAUGAAUAGCUUGUCCUGAGCGAGCACACACCCAAAAACACACACACGGAUGAAGUGAUCAUCUUUAAAAAAAAAAAAAGAAAAAAAACGCCCUGGCGCUCACUUGGCCUACUUUCCAGUGGGAAGGGGAGCGCCGUUCCGGGGAGGGGCGGCCGCAGGAGAGUGCGGAGGAUGUUCACGCACUCUGGGAAAGCUAGCUAGAGCGAUGCGAGUCAACAUCGUCAACCUUUUUCCCCCGAGCACGUUUGGCCCCGUCUGCUUCUUCCUGUCUUCGUUUUACAACAGAGUUUCCCUUCCUACGACAGCAAUGUAACCCAAAUUGUGUCGUAGUCUGUAUCUGACCUAACGCUAGUCGUAAAGUCAGAAUAUUCUUUGGCAUUGACGCAAAACUAGUUGCUUUGCCUCUGUUAUUUCCCGAUUCUCUGCUUUCAACGACCACAGCCCUUGUCUAACAUUAAAGCAUCGCUUUGGCGCCACCCUGUGGCAUAUUGGUGCCGAAUAUAUUUAGGUAGAAACAAGGAAAAGGGUGUCACUUAGUCAGGCCGUAGCCCUGUCUAAUGUAAAAACACAGUGGAAGUGAGACCCACUGCGGGUUGCUGGCUUUUUUGCCACUAGAUGGCGGCAGAGGCCGCAACGCAUCGAAACAAAGGACCUGAAAAGAUCUUAAAUUGAUUUAGAAGUCAAAAUCUAGGUCCCGAUGAAAUUUAAAACUGAAACUACACGGACCUCCCAACUUCAAAACGUUCGCCCUGUCCAAAACCGCCGAAACCCCCCACCCCCCAAACCCCCCCCCCCCCCCCGUAUUCUUGUUUGACUUUGCAAUUGAGAAUCCUACAGAAGCUUAACGCCCGAGCUAAAAAGUCGGCCAAACUCCGGCGGGGGAUUUCACUUGUCAAUUCCUGUUGGAUUUGAGGAGCAUUAGGAAGCGCGGUGCACGCCAUCUGCUCUGCCUGUUGAUCGAUAGCACGUCAGGUCCGCGCCGCCGCUCGUUGAGGCCUUCAGGUGGCAGCUCGGGUUACACAACAACGGGCCGCGAAGGGGCGGGGCGGGACCGGGUGGGGGUGAAUUGUGGGCUCUGGAGUUUGGCUCGACAGACUUUGGGUGAGGAGCGGCUUGAUAAUCUGGGGUUUGGUGUACAGCGCCUCACCAAAUGUCGACAUCUGCGAGGGUGCGCGCGAGGAAAAGCUCCUCGGAGGAAGAGGGGAUCAUCAUCUUAGCUCCCCUCACCUUCAAGCACGCCCGUCGGGCUUUAAAAGGCAGAUGAAGAAAUCCUAACGUAAACAUGCCGAGUCCGGUUUUCAUCGCGCGUGCGACAUGGAGGGAAAGGGGGCAACCUUGGCGCAUCGUUAAGGGGCUUGACUUUUUCGUCGCCCUCGGAUGUAAACAUUGCGCUGUCCGCGUUACACCGACAACGCUCAUCAGGGGUGUCCAAAGUUUUUCUUCCGAAAAGAGAGCAUGACAUUUUACACCUUUUGAUUUAUUUACAGUCACACACAAGAAGCCUGUCCAUUAGAGUGGGUGCGAUUACGCUCAGAAAAGCAAUACAGCAGGGGGCCUUAUUGCCCCAUUGAAAUGAAUGGAAAUGCCAAUAAAGAGAAACAUCACUCGAUUAAAAUUUCACUUAGAAUGUCCAGAAUGAAACAGUUUGGGCAUCAUGAUUAAACCAUUGUGACGCCUUGUGGUGUGCGCGACUUGGCUACCAGUGCAGGCACAAAAAAGAAUUUCACAAUGUUUGUAAGUGACUCAGUAAGAUGCUAUAAUAUUCGUCAUUCUUCGCCUAGGAUAAAGAAUAUAUGCAUGUGUUUCUUUGGUCUAUUUCCGGUCUGAAUGUGUUGCUGCUUUAUUGCCCUUCAAAUACAAUCUACACUUUAAGUGUUAAAAUGAGAUUAAGCUAAAGAUGGACUUUAACUUUCAUAUGAAUAUGUCUGUAUGUAUAAAUGUGUGUGUGUGUGUCUGAGCGAGAGGACGCACAAAUGUUUCACUUGGUCCUUUGUUCCACGGCGCCUGCGAAAGUGACUUUGACUCUCCUGAGGAAAAGUUUGAGCAUCUGUUCCGCAGUGUCGUAUUUGUCGAGAAAUGAAAUAUUGAACCGAUGGAGUGCGCCAUGAAUGUUUCACUCGCACGACGCCAAUGCCGAUUGUACGGGGAAGCGGCACUUUACACGCACGACCCGGCAUGUUGUUGUUGCCGCCUUUAAGUGCGCCAGAUUAGCGCGCCGCGAAGCGUUCCGUUUAGUUUAGCAGCGACAUGCUCCUCGAACAACAACGGGGACAACACACGCGCGCGCAAACACAAAGAUGAUGGAAACGCGCGUUUGUUGGUCGUCUUCUGGUGUUGAAGAGCUAAUUGCUAACAUAAAAAAAAGAGACAUUUGUACUGGAGGCUUUAUGAGACUGGCUUGUGAAAAAGCAACAGGUCAUUUGUUCAAAACAUUUUUAAAAAACACUCAUUUGAGGUUUGUUUUGACAAUUUCCUACAAAUAUAAUUAGCGAAUUUAUUAAAAAUACAAUAAAUUCAAUAAAUAGGAAAUACGUGCUAAUUUGCUGGUCGAUUUGUAAGUUAGCUUACAAAAACUAAUUAGUAGAAGAGUGAUUUUUGGGUGGUUACUUUCAAAAAUAUUUUCUUAGAUACCUGACUAAAUUCCGGGUCUCUAAAAAGUAAUAAGUAGAACCAUGACAAAUUUUAGGUUAGCUUUUAGUCGUCUUAAAAGAGGUAGAAACUGACCAACUUGUGUGUUAGCAUGAUAGCUUACACAAAGUAAUAGCGUAGUAAACUGACUCAUUAAUGUAUUUGUUAAAAAUUUGUCUAUUUUCUACAACGUCCCACCUAAUGACCCGCGUUCUGCUAAAUGCAAAGCAAUUUUUACCCACGAGUACCGCUUCAGGUUGCUCACAUUUGCUCCCGAUAUCUCGAUUGUUCAACGUUAGCAUGUGGCUAUCGUGGCAGGGAUGAUAAAAUGGUGUCGUGAGUAGCCUUUUGUGUGCCACGCUAGGAGAGUUCCGUCGCUAAAAGGGAGGGACAAAAGCCAGAAGGCGCCACGGGUAUAAGGUUCCGCCCGGUGACAAUGGCCAAAGUUUCAACUUGCAGCGCAAUGGGUGUAACUUUAACUGGAAUCGUGUGGAUCAAAGCCCGGCGAACAAAGUGGGUGGAAAUGCCGCGGGAGAACGUCUGCGCUCCCGUGAAGGACAGCUUCAGACACCGGGCCGGCCGACGCGGGCUAAUUAGCGACACUCUUAUUUUGGUUAAAGGCCGGGCCCCGAUCCAACAUUAGAAACUGAAAAGCUCCACGUCUUAACGGGAAAUCCAACAGAGGCUGAUUAAUUCGCCGCCGCCACGAACACGGUCAAUUUUGUAUCGCGUGUGAAACAUUCAUCGGGCCUCCGCUGUCUUUGGGAGCGGAAUUAUUCAGUGGCGCUGGUUCAAAUGAGAAAGGCGGCCUUGGAAAUGAGGCGAGGCUUACGGCGAGCCAUCAGGUGAGCGCGCGUACAAUGCCAACGUGUAACCUUUACACUGCGCUUGAACCCGCGCAUACAAGUGUUAUGAAAGGUCCCUGUGGCGCCGCGCUCUUCUCACAUGGAUUUGACGACUUGCCACUUUAUUAGCUGCUAAGCCCCCCCCAUUCCCCCCAAUACGUGUUUUGUACAGUGUAGACGAGGGGGUGUGGGGGGCAGGCCUAUGUUAUGAGCCGGGAUUCUUAUUGUCUGCUGGCGUUAUUAGAAGGAAGAGUGUGCAGCACUCACUUCCACACCCGGCACCCCGAGAGAAUAGGCCGACUGUUGCAAGGCGAGCUACAAGUGCAAUUUAACCCAUCUUAUUUACAAUGUGAUCGUUUUACAAAGACAUGCUUUCUGCAAAGGAUCAGCGUCUAAUAUUUCUCCUCAGUGUGAUUCAUUGAUUUUUUUUUCUGCUUCUUCUUCAUCCUCAGAAUAUAUUUGAUGUGAUGUCCAAAUAAACCCGUAGUCAAAAAAAGAAAAAAGAAAGAAAAGUCAACCCGAGUAGAAGCUUAAUAGAUUGCCGUGCAACAAAAACACAGUUAAAUUAAAUUAAAUGUUGAAUCGAGUGUAAUCACAGAUGUGCUGUGUGAUACUUAAACGUCGUUGGUGGCCUUCGCCGUGUCAUCGUCUUGCAAAAGGGGAAAAUCACGGUUGAAAAAUAAUCAGUGCCACACUGCCAUCUAGUGCUCAGAUUACCGCACUGUAUGCAAAAGAUGCACAUCACACAGUUGGUG